This 253-nucleotide ribosomal RNA is filed under the name uncultured prokaryote. RNAcentral describes it as "partial 16S ribosomal RNA". It matches the Rfam family "Bacterial small subunit ribosomal RNA", at positions 525 to 777 of the family's 1533-position model. The record is from RNAcentral.
ACGGGGGGUGCGAGCGUUGUCCGGAAUCACUGGGCGUAAAGGGCGCGUAGGUGGUUUGAUAAGGGUGUGGUGAAAGCCCGGGGCUCAACCCCGGGUCUGCCGUGCCGACUGUCAAACUCGAGGACUGUAGAGGCAGACGGAAUUCCGGGUGUAGCGGUGGAAUGCGUAGAGAUCCGGAGGAAGACCGGUGGCGAAGGCGGCCCCCUGGUUGGAUACUGACGCUGAUACGCGAAAGCGUGGGGAGCAAACAGGA